Molecule: long non-coding RNA, 250 nt
Filed under: Durio zibethinus
Lineage: Eukaryota; Viridiplantae; Streptophyta; Magnoliopsida; Malvales; Malvaceae
Description: long non-coding RNA (DZIB_LNC001234)
Source: RNAcentral
GCUGCUUAUACAGGCUGGGAAGAUGCGAGAAAUGACCCUGUGAAGGCAGUUACUUUUGGGGAUGGGGAACCAUUGCCAGCUGAUACCAUCUAUGAGUGCCUGAAAAUCCUUGAAGAGGAAUGUGUUGCCAUUCCUUGGAAGAAAGGAGACGUUUUACUCAUAGAUAAUUGGGCUGUCCUUCACUCUCGAAGAUCAUUUGAUCCACCUAGACGAGUGCUGGCUUCACUCUGCAAAUAGGAUUGGUGAAGCC